GGCAGUGUCAUUCCUCCUGUCCACUACCCCAACUUCUACUCCCAACACUACCACAACAAUGAGCAGUCUGGUGUGGUGGCUGAGGAUUCUUUUGAAGAGGACAAUGCUUCUGCUUCAUCUGAGCAGCUUGAAGCUGCCUGCAGAAAUAGGCAAAACAGCAACUGACGAAAGAAUAAAGUUGAAGGAAACUGGAGUUUCCCUGCAAAACAAGCUAUCAAGAAGACCUAUACAAUUCAAAGUGUCUGGCUAAGAGUUGGAGAUCUGGCAGAGAAGCUGUGGCCAGAGGAAGGAGGCUUGGCUGCUGCACCAGACCCAUAGACCACAUCUUUGGAGUGGCUUUGGCCUUGAGGUGCAGCCAGGUAGCUGUAGCUCAC
Scylla paramamosain (green mud crab) is the source of this 374-nucleotide long non-coding RNA. RefSeq lists it as uncharacterized. The record is from RefSeq and is a predicted model, not a curated record. NCBI's taxonomy places the organism in Eukaryota, Metazoa, Arthropoda, Malacostraca, Decapoda, Portunidae. The transcript is spliced from 3 exons.